This 800-nucleotide ribosomal RNA is filed under the name uncultured Actinomycetes bacterium. RNAcentral describes it as "bacterial SSU rRNA". It matches the Rfam family "Bacterial small subunit ribosomal RNA", at positions 58 to 836 of the family's 1533-position model. Lineage: Bacteria; Bacillati; Actinomycetota; Actinomycetes. The record is from RNAcentral.
CAAGUCGAACGCGAAAGUCCCCUUCGGGGGGCGAGUAGAGUGGCGCACGGGUGAGUAACACGUAGGUAAUCUACCUUUGGAUGGGGAAUAACAACCGGAAACGGUUGCUAAUACCGCAUAAUGCAGCGGCACCUAAUGGUGACAGUUGUUAAAGCGGGGGAUCGCAAGACCUCGCGUCUGAAGAGGAGCCUGCGGCAGAUUAGCUAGUUGGUAGGGUAACGGCUUACCAAGGCGAUGAUCUGUAGCCGGCCUGAGAGGGCGGUCGGCCACACUGACACUGACAUACGGGUCAGACUCCUACGGGAGGCAGCAGUCGGGAAUUUUGGGCAAUGGGCGAAAGCCUGACCCAGCAACGCCGCGUGAAGGAUGAAAUCCCUCGGGAUGUAAACUUCGCAAGAACGGGAAGAAUAAGUAAGAGUUAAUAUCUCUUAUGAUGACGGUACUGUUUGUAAGCUCCGGCUAACUCCGUGCCAGCAGCCGCGGUAAUACGGGGGGAGCAAGCGUUGUUCGGAUUUACUGGGCGUAAAGGGCGCGUAGGCGGCCACCGCAAGUCGACUGUGAAAUCUCCGGGCUUAACCCGGAAAGGUCAGCCGAUACUGCGGGGCUAGAGUGCAGAAGGGGCAACUGGAAUUCUCGGUGUAGCGGUGAAAUGCGUAGAUAUCGAGAGGAACACCUGCGGCGAAGGCGGGUUGCUGGGCUGACACUGACGCUGAGGCGCGAAAGCUAGGGGAGCGAACGGGAUUAGAUACCCCGGUAGUCCUAGCCUUAAACGAUGAAUGCUUGGUGUCUGGGGUUUUAUA